This is a small nuclear RNA of Lepisosteus oculatus (spotted gar), 114 nucleotides long. Its record names the gene U5. It matches the Rfam family "U5 spliceosomal RNA". From Rfam's summary of the family: U5 RNA is a component of both types of known spliceosome. NCBI's taxonomy places the organism in Eukaryota, Metazoa, Chordata, Actinopteri, Semionotiformes, Lepisosteidae. The record is from Ensembl.
AUACUCUGUUUCUCUGCAUAUAGUAUAAAUCCUUUGCCUUUUACUAAAGAUUUCCGUGGAGAGGAGCACGUAUGAGUUCCAUUAAUAUUCACUUGUAUUUCUUGAGACGGAACA